Molecule: ribosomal RNA, 420 nt
Filed under: bacterium
Lineage: Bacteria
Description: partial 16S ribosomal RNA
Rfam family: Bacterial small subunit ribosomal RNA
Source: RNAcentral
UGGGGGAUAUUGCACAAUGGGCGAAAGCCUGAUGCAGCGACGCCGCGUGGGGGAUGAAGGCUUUCGGGUUGUAAACCUCUUUCGCUAUCGAACAAGGCCCGCUUAGGGUGGGUUGAGGGUAGGUGGAGAAGAAGCGCCGGCUAACUACGUGCCAGCAGCCGCGGUAACACGUAGGGCGCGAGCGUUGUCCGGAAUUAUUGGGCGUAAAGGGCUUGUAGGCGGCUUGUUGCGCCUGCUGUGAAAACGCGGGGCUUAACUUCGCGCGUGCAGUGGGUACGGGCAGGCUUGAGUGUGGUAGGGGUGACUGGAAUUCCAGGUGUAGCGGUGGAAUGCGCAGAUAUCUGGAGGAACACCGAUGGCGAAGGCAGGUCACUGGGCCAUUACUGACGCUGAGGAGCGAAAGCAUGGGUAGCGAACAGG